UACUCCUCAUUUGGGGGAAGGUGAGAACCUUCGCUAAGGUUCGAGUUGAGCGUAGCGAAACAACAAUGCGACGCUUGCGGCGCGUUGGCCCGCAGGGCGAGGAACGCAGUGACGAGUCAUCCUUCCCCCACCACCA
This 136-nucleotide small RNA is filed under the name Photorhabdus bodei. RNAcentral describes it as "RtT sRNA". It matches the Rfam family "RtT RNA". From Rfam's summary of the family: This family represents a bacterial cis-regulatory element known as RtT RNA. The exact function of RtT is unknown although it is thought that it may be involved in changing the cellular response in relation to amino acid starvation. The record is from RNAcentral. RNAcentral also lists the same sequence under 3 other names. Lineage: Bacteria; Pseudomonadati; Pseudomonadota; Gammaproteobacteria; Enterobacterales; Morganellaceae.